AUGGGCGAACGACGGGAAUUGAACCCGCGCAUGGUGGAUUCACAAUCCACUGCCUUGAUCCACUUGGCUACAUCCGCCCCUUAUCCAGCUAAAGGAUUUUUUUAUUUUUUCCAUUGAUCAUUAUUCUAUUUAUUCUGA
Molecule: transfer RNA, 138 nt
Filed under: Triticum aestivum (bread wheat)
Lineage: Eukaryota; Viridiplantae; Streptophyta; Magnoliopsida; Poales; Poaceae
Description: partial small subunit ribosomal RNA
Source: RNAcentral